GGGCAGCUUUGCAUCCAUGAGACAACUCUAGGAUCUGACCCCAGGACCACCUGCACACCUAAGAAUGGAUUAAAUUACAACUCAGACACAUCCUCACGAGUGGCUGCUCUCGGAAGAUGCGUGUGCAUAGACCAACCCUGUCCCUCCUUUUCACCCUUCAUGGUUUCACACCAGCCCUGCAGCUGCAGAAUCUCCAUUGGUCUGGAGUAUCGGGGGGAAUGCUCUCUGGUGCAGCACGUGCACUUCACCUGAUGCUUAUGGAAGACACACAGCACACAAGCGCACACUAAUAAACAGGAAAACACCUCCUCUGGGAUUGGCCAGAGCUUCGAAGCAGUGCAGGCAGGGCCUUCCUGACAUUGUGGCAUGGCUUCUGCUUGCUGCCUUCUCCCAUAAAGCAGUGGUUCCUCCGUAGAAAGCACUCAGCAGUGGGUGUACUUUCUACUGUGCCUGGAUCAGGCCCCAGCAAGAACACCAAAGCCUGAUGUUUAUAGAUUGACACCUGCUUCACUCCGACUCACUCCUGUCUUCCUCAGGGAGAGCGCGGAGAACAAGCACAUCUCCCAACACUGAGCCACCCCCACCCUCUUACCUCUUGGUGCUGUGGCAAGCUGUCUUCACAAGAUGGCUGGUAUUCACUUACCCAGAGGCCC
RNAcentral lists this long non-coding RNA (653 nucleotides) under Mus pahari (shrew mouse). RNAcentral describes it as "lncRNA (MGP_PahariEiJ_G0005419.1)". Lineage: Eukaryota; Metazoa; Chordata; Mammalia; Rodentia; Muridae. The record is from RNAcentral.